GGAUAAAAGUCGUAACAAGGUCUCCGUUGGUGAACCAGCGGAGGGAUCAUUACAGGACUCGCAAGACUCCUACAACCCUGUGAACUUAACUAUAAGCACGUUGCUUCGGCGGGUGUCUCGGAGGGGGUUCUCCCUCCCCGAGACGCUAAACCCGCCGGCAGCCUACUAUACUCUGUCUCUUUGCGUUGGCAUCUCGAGUACAAUCAAACAAGUUAAAACUUUCAACAACGGAUCUCUUGGUUCUG
Molecule: unclassified non-coding RNA, 245 nt
Filed under: plant metagenome
Description: partial contains small subunit ribosomal RNA, internal transcribed spacer 1, and 5.8S ribosomal RNA
Rfam family: Eukaryotic small subunit ribosomal RNA (bases 1-52)
Source: RNAcentral